GUAGAUGGUCAUAACUUUUUUAUAUUUGCAGAUUUGGUAAGAAAAUGGUGGUGCAAUGACAUUAAUAUCCUUUUCACCGGAUCAUACUAAUAAUAGCCACGAAAAUGAAAAAAAAGAAGAUAAUGUUCCUCAGAUUCAUCACAAAUUUUCUAUUUUUCACAUCAAACGAACAAAAAAAAAACAAGAAGAUAAAGCAAAGCAACCACAAAAAAAAAUAGUAAGACGCAUUUCUUCCUCACCAAACGCAGUGCCGAAGCAAAUCAAACAUUGAAUAGAUAUAAAAUGAGAAGAAGAAUGAAGACGAGGUUUCAGGAGCACGGCGGUGGAGCUGAGGAUUACAAUGAUGACAGCAGAGGCAAAGGCGGAGGCUUACGGGAAUACGGCGGUGGAGUAGAUCAGAGGCUUACGGAACACGACAGCAGAGCAUAUGCGAGUGAAAUACUUGUAUUGUUCACAUUUAUAGAGAGAUGAAUCAAAGGAUAUGUCACGUGAAAAAUAGAUAUCUAAAUCCUUGGAUUUUUACCAAAAAAAUAGAGAAAAAUUAAGUAUCGAUUGAAAAAUUUAGAGUACAUGAUUUCAUCAGAACUUUCGUCGAUAAAGGAACAGUUCAUUAUUUAGGGAAGAUGAAUGAUCACAUCAGGAAG
Molecule: long non-coding RNA, 644 nt
Filed under: Brassica napus (rape)
Lineage: Eukaryota; Viridiplantae; Streptophyta; Magnoliopsida; Brassicales; Brassicaceae
Description: long non-coding RNA (BNAP_LNC007433)
Source: RNAcentral